CCUACGGGCGGCUGCAGUGAGGAAUAUUGGUCAAUGGACGUAAGCCUGAACCAGCCAAGUCGCGUGAAGGAUGAAGGUUCUAUGAAUCGUAAACCGCUUUUAUAAGGGAAUAAAGUGCGAGACGUGUACCGUUUUGUAUGUACCUUAUGAAUAAGGAUCGGCUAACUCCGUGCCAGCAGCCGCGGUAAUACGGAGGAUUCGAGCGUUAUCCGGAUUUAUUGGGUUUAAAGGGUGCGUAGGCGGCCUGUUAAGUCAGCGGUGAAAGUCUGUGGCUCAACCAGAGAAUUGCCGUUGAAACUGGGAGUCUUGAGUAUGUUGGAGGCAGGCGGAAUGCGUGGUGUAGCGGUGAAAUGCUUAGAUAUCACGCAGAACCCCGAUGGCGAAGGCAGCCUGCUAAGCCAUGACUGACGCUGAGGCACGAAAGCGUGGGGAGCAAACAGGAUUAGAUACCCGGGUAGUC
This 460-nucleotide ribosomal RNA is filed under the name uncultured bacterium. RNAcentral's name for it is "partial 16S ribosomal RNA". It matches the Rfam family "Bacterial small subunit ribosomal RNA", at positions 338 to 795 of the family's 1533-position model. The record is from RNAcentral.